RNAcentral lists this transfer RNA (71 nucleotides) under Stegodyphus mimosarum. It matches the Rfam family "tRNA". Rfam says of the family: Transfer RNA (tRNA) molecules are approximately 80 nucleotides in length. Their secondary structure includes four short double-helical elements and three loops (D, anti-codon, and T loops). The record is from Rfam by way of RNAcentral. Lineage: Eukaryota; Metazoa; Arthropoda; Arachnida; Araneae; Eresidae.
GCCUUCAUGGUGUAACGUUAGCACACUUGGCAUAUAUUCGAGAGGUCCAGGUUCGAGUCCCGGUGAGGGCA